This 465-nucleotide ribosomal RNA is filed under the name uncultured bacterium. Its description in RNAcentral is "partial 16S ribosomal RNA". It matches the Rfam family "Bacterial small subunit ribosomal RNA", at positions 39 to 523 of the family's 1533-position model. The record is from RNAcentral.
GCGGCGUGCUUCAUACAUGCAAGUCGAACGAGAAGCAGGAGCUUGCUCCUGUGGAAAGUGGCGGACGGGUGAGUAACACGUAGGAAAUCUGCCUUUGGGUGGGGGACAACAGUUGGAAACGACUGCUAAUACCCCAUAUGAGCUUGGUUGCAAUACCAAUCUUGAACACUCCGGUGCCUAAAGAUGAGCCUGCGUCUGAUUAGCUUGUUGGCGGGGUAAUGGCCCACCAAGGCGACGAUCAGUAGCUGGUUUGAGAGGAUGGUCAGCCAAAGUGGGACUGAGACACGGCCCAUACUCCUACGGGAGGCAGCAGUAGGGAAUUUUGCGCAAUGGGGGAAACCCUUACGCAGCAACGCCGCGUGAAUGACGAAGCCCUUCGGGGUGUAAAGUUCUGUCAGUAGGGAAGAAUUUUGACUGUACCUACAAAGGAAGCACCGGCUAACUCCGUGCCAGCAGCCGCGGUAA